RNAcentral lists this ribosomal RNA (429 nucleotides) under uncultured bacterium. RNAcentral's name for it is "bacterial SSU rRNA". It matches the Rfam family "Bacterial small subunit ribosomal RNA", at positions 355 to 776 of the family's 1533-position model. The record is from RNAcentral.
UGGGGAAUAUUGCACAAUGGGCGCAAGCCUGAUGCAGCCAUGCCGCGUGUAUGAAGAAGGCCUUCGGGUUGUAAAGUACUUUCAGCGGGGAGGAAGGCGGUGCGGUUAAUAACCGCGCCGAUUGACGUUACCCGCAGAAGAAGCACCGGCUAACUCCGUGCCAGCAGCCGCGGUAAUACGGAGGGUGCAAGCGUUAAUCGGAAUUACUGGGCGUAAAGCGCACGCAGGCGGUCUGUUAAGUCAGAUGUGAAAUCCCCGGGCUUAACCUGGGAACUGCAUUUGAAACUGGCAGGCUUGAGUCUUGUAGAGGGGGGUAGAAUUCCAGGUGUAGCGGUGAAAUGCGUAGAGAUCUGGAGGAAUACCGGUGGCGAAGGCGGCCCCCUGGACAAAGACUGACGCUCAGGUGCGAAAGCGUGGGGAGCAAACAGG